GAUUCCUACGGGAGGCAGCAGUGGGGAAUAUUGCACAAUGGGCGAAAGCCUGAUGCAGCGACGCCGCGUGAGGGAUGACGGCCUUCGGGUUGUAAACCUCUUUCAGCAGGGACGAAGCGCAAGUGACGGUACCUGCAGAAGAAGCACCGGCUAACUACGUGCCAGCAGCCGCGGUAAUAAUC
RNAcentral lists this ribosomal RNA (182 nucleotides) under uncultured bacterium. RNAcentral describes it as "partial 16S ribosomal RNA". It matches the Rfam family "Bacterial small subunit ribosomal RNA", at positions 334 to 526 of the family's 1533-position model. The record is from RNAcentral.